ACGCUCGACACCUACGAGAGGCAGCAGUGGGGAAUAUUGCACAAUGGGGGAAACCCUGAUGCAGCGACGCCGCGUGAGCGAAGAAGUAUUUCGGUAUGUAAAGCUCUAUCAGCAGGGAAGAAGAAAGACGGUACCUGACUAAGAAGCCCCGGCUAACUACGUGCCAACAGCCGCGGUAAUCUGAGCGGGCUGGCAAGGC
RNAcentral lists this ribosomal RNA (199 nucleotides) under uncultured bacterium. RNAcentral's name for it is "partial 16S ribosomal RNA". It matches the Rfam family "Bacterial small subunit ribosomal RNA", at positions 328 to 539 of the family's 1533-position model. The record is from RNAcentral.